RNAcentral lists this transfer RNA (76 nucleotides) under Sphingorhabdus lacus. RNAcentral describes it as "tRNA-Ala". It matches the Rfam family "tRNA". From Rfam's summary of the family: Transfer RNA (tRNA) molecules are approximately 80 nucleotides in length. Their secondary structure includes four short double-helical elements and three loops (D, anti-codon, and T loops). RNAcentral also lists the same sequence under 23 other names. The record is from RNAcentral. Lineage: Bacteria; Pseudomonadati; Pseudomonadota; Alphaproteobacteria; Sphingomonadales; Sphingorhabdaceae.
GGGGCCUUAGCUCAGCUGGUAGAGCGCUACACUGGCAGUGUAGAGGUCAGGGGUUCGACUCCCCUAGGCUCCACCA